Molecule: long non-coding RNA, 1016 nt
Organism: Anthonomus grandis grandis
Lineage: Eukaryota; Metazoa; Arthropoda; Insecta; Coleoptera; Curculionidae
Exons: 2
Source: RefSeq, a predicted model, not a curated record
UUAACGUUUUAAAAAGCCAAAGUAACGUGUAAAAUGAUGAGUGAUGAUGACUGUUCCAUUUCUGGAACCCCCCCAGAACUCACGGAGGCAGUGAAUGCUGCAUCAUUGGAAUUGUUACCAGUAAAAUCUAGAAAUAAGUAUAACUAUGCAUACAACCGCUUCAUGGACUACCGUACGAAUAAAAAUGUAACUUCUUUCUCGGAAAAUGUUGUAAUGGCGUACUUCUUGGAGCUUGGUUCCAAGAUGAAAUCUUCAACUUUAUGGGCCAAUUAUUCAAUGCUGCAGGCAACCCUUGCAAUUAGACAUGAUGUGGAUAUAUCUAAAUAUUCAAAACUUCGGGCAUUCCUGAAACGGCAAGCACAUGCCUAUAAGCCAAAAAAAUCCAAGAUUUUAACUAAAGAAGAAAUAAAGAAAUUUAUUCAGGAAGCUCCAGAUAAGGAAUAUUUAAUGAUUAAGGUAGCUGUAAUAUUUGGAAUUUCCGGAGCUUGCAGAAUGGACGAGCUGGUUAAAAUGACUGUACAAGAUAUACAAGACCUACUAUCUAAACUUUUAGUUACCAUACCGGAUUCAAAAACCAAUACAUCAAGAUCAUUUAUAGUAAACGAAAUGUACUUAAAUCUAUACCGCAAGUAUGUCUCUUUAAGACCAAGAGACAUGAAUACCACUCGGUUUUUUUUUAAGUACCAAAAUGAAAAAGGUUGUAGCAAGUAGUAGGAAUUCACCAAUUUAGAAACAUGCCUAAAAUAGUGGCCAGUUAUUUGAAUUUGCCAAACUCGAAAGAAUAUACCGGCCACUGUUUUCGUCGGUCUUCUGCCACAAUGCUUGUUGAUUCUGGUGGAGAUAUUACUAGUUUAAAGAGACUGGGUGGAUGGAAAUCAACAAACGUCGCUGAAGGAUAUAUAGAAGAGUCUCUUACUAAUAAGGAAGAAGUGGCAAAUAAAAUUUUCACAGCAGAAAAAAAUCAAGAAAGUAAAUCUAAUAUUUCUAAUACUGCAGUAACGUCCAAUAUUAGUUAU